RNAcentral lists this ribosomal RNA (543 nucleotides) under uncultured bacterium. RNAcentral describes it as "bacterial SSU rRNA". It matches the Rfam family "Bacterial small subunit ribosomal RNA", at positions 336 to 873 of the family's 1533-position model. The record is from RNAcentral.
CUCCUACGGGAGGCUGCAGUGGGGAAUUUUGGACAAUGGGCGCAAGCCUGAUCCAGCAAUGCCGCGUGCAGGAUGAAGGCCUUCGGGUUGUAAACUGCUUUUGUACGGAACGAAAAGGUUCUCUCUAAUACAGGGGGCAUAUGACGGUACCGUAAGAAUAAGCACCGGCUAACUACGUGCCAGCAGCCGCGGUAAUACGUAGGGUGCGAGCGUUAAUCGGAAUUACUGGGCGUAAAGCGUGCGCAGGCGGUUUUGUAAGACAGAGGUGAAAUCCCCGGGCUCAACCUGGGAACUGCCUUUGUGACUGCAAGGCUGGAGUGCGGCAGAGGGGGAUGGAAUUCCGCGUGUAGCAGUGAAAUGCGUGGAUAUGCGGAGGAACACCGAUGGCGAAGGCAAUCCCCUGGGCCUGCACUGACGCUCAUGCACGAAAGCGUGGGGAGCAAACAGGAUUAGAUACCCCGGUAGUCCACGCCCUAAACGAUGUCAACUGGUUGUUGGGGGUUAAUUCACUCAGUAACGAAGCUAACGCGUGAAGUGACCGCC